Molecule: long non-coding RNA, 789 nt
Filed under: Nicotiana benthamiana
Lineage: Eukaryota; Viridiplantae; Streptophyta; Magnoliopsida; Solanales; Solanaceae
Description: long non-coding RNA (NBEN_LNC018651)
Source: RNAcentral
CCCUUUGUAAUCUCAGCUCUCUCUCGCUACCCCCUCUCAAACUCUAGCUGCCAAUCUCAACCACCACCUAAAAUCGCCCAAAUCAAUGGUUUCCAAAGCCAUUGGAGGCCUGUAUCUACUUCUUUUGGCUUUUAUAUGCCCAAUUACCAUGCUUUCAUGGCUGAAUCCUGGAAACGUUUGGUCCAGACCUUGGUUGAUUUUAGUUCUAUGGCUGUCUAUGGUCAUCUUUGACUUUGCUCCGACAAGUCAUGGCUAUUCAAGCCUGAUUAUUGACUUCUCUUACUUAGACCGAUGAUUUUCUAAGCCUUUCUCAUCAUCUGGAGUCCGUCUAAAAUCCUAACCUUUGAGAUUCUUUCAAUUUCCUUUAGAUCUGUUUUAGAUCUAUGUUUGCUCUAAAAUUCUAAGUGUUUUCUCAAGGUUUUCUUUCAAAACUCUACCUUAAAGAACCCUUAUCUUUUCUAAUUUAUGUUUUCUUAAGUUAUAUUUGAAGCUUUCUUCUUUCAAAACUCUACCUUAAAGAACCCUUAUCUUUUCUAAUUUAUGUUUUCUUAAGUUAUUUUUGAAGCUUUCUCUGAUUUUCAACAUGUUUUGCUGUGUUUCCUUAUGUCAUUCUUUUACUGGAGUUUGCAUGUCAAGAGUCUUAGUUUCUUUUGAGGUUUCUGAACAUAUUUUCGUGUUAGUAUUGUUCAAUUAUUUUUGUUCCAUCUCUAGAAUCCACUGCUAUUAAAAACCCUAAAAUUUUUGGUUUAUUCGAGUUCUUAGGCUAUUUGAUGUGUGAUUUACUUGUUC